UGGCUUAUAGCGCAACGGUAGCGCAGCUACCUGAUACGUAGCAGGUUACAGGUUCGAAUCCUGUUAAGCCGAC
RNAcentral lists this transfer RNA (73 nucleotides) under Chitinophaga cymbidii. Its description in RNAcentral is "tRNA-Ile". It matches the Rfam family "tRNA". Rfam says of the family: Transfer RNA (tRNA) molecules are approximately 80 nucleotides in length. Their secondary structure includes four short double-helical elements and three loops (D, anti-codon, and T loops). Further hydrogen bonds mediate the characteristic L-shaped molecular structure. tRNAs have two regions of fundamental functional importance: the anti-codon, which is responsible for specific mRNA codon recognition, and the 3' end, to which the tRNAs corresponding amino acid is attached (by aminoacyl-tRNA synthetases). tRNAs cope with the degeneracy of the genetic code in two manners: having more than one tRNA (with a specific anti-codon) for a particular amino acid; and 'wobble' base-pairing, i.e. permitting non-standard base-pairing at the 3rd anti-codon position. The record is from RNAcentral. Lineage: Bacteria; Pseudomonadati; Bacteroidota; Chitinophagia; Chitinophagales; Chitinophagaceae.